Molecule: ribosomal RNA, 242 nt
Filed under: Coccolithus braarudii
Lineage: Eukaryota; Haptophyta; Coccolithales; Coccolithaceae
Description: partial Bacterial large subunit ribosomal RNA
Rfam family: Bacterial large subunit ribosomal RNA
Source: RNAcentral
UGAGGGAACUAUGUUGAAGGAACUCGGCAAAAUGCCUCCGUAACUUCGGGAUAAGGAGGACCUCUCAUCGGGCAACCGGUGGGGGGUGGCACAGAGUAGGGGGUGGCGACUGUUUACUAAAAACACAGGGCUCUGCGAAGCCAUCCAGGCGACGUAUAGGGUCUGACGCCUGCCCGGUGCCGGAAGGUUAAGAGGAGAGGUGAGAGCUUUGAAUUGAAGCCCCGGUAAACGGCGGCCGUAAC